CAGUAGCCACGGUAACACGUAGGGUGCGAGCGUUAAUCGGAAUUACUGGGCGUAAAGCGUGCGCAGGCGGUUAUAUAAGACAGAUGUGAAAUCCCCGGGCUCAACCUGGGACCUGCAUUUGUGACUGUAUAGCUAGAGUACGGUAGAGGGGGAUGGAAUUCCGCGUGUAGCAGUGAAAUGCGUAGAUACGCGGAGGAACACCGAUGGCGAAGGCAAUCCCCUGGACCUGUACUGACGCUCAUGCACGAAAGCGUGGGGAGCAAACAGGAUUAGAUACCCGAGUAGUCCCUGUCUCUUAUAC
Molecule: ribosomal RNA, 301 nt
Filed under: uncultured bacterium
Lineage: Bacteria
Description: partial 16S ribosomal RNA
Rfam family: Bacterial small subunit ribosomal RNA
Source: RNAcentral